GAGUUUGAUCUUGGCUCAGAUUGAACGCUGGCGGCAUGCCUUACACAUGCAAGUCGAACGGCAGCACGGGAGCUUGCUCCUGGUGGCGAGUGGCGAACGGGUGAGUAAUGCAUCGGAACGUAUCCUGGAGUGGGGGAUAACGUAGCGAAAGUUACGCUAAUACCGCAUAUUCUGUGAGCAGGAAAGCGGGGGACCUUCGGGCCUCGCGCUCUUGGAGCGGCCGAUGUCGGAUUAGCUAGUUGGUGAGGUAAAGGCUCACCAAGGCGACGAUCCGUAGCAGGUCUGAGAGGAUGAUCUGCCACACUGGAACUGAGACACGGUCCAGACUCCUACGGGAGGCAGCAGUGGGAUUUGGACAAGUGGGGCAACCCUGAUCCAGCCAUGCCGCGUGAGUGAAGAAGGCC
This 404-nucleotide ribosomal RNA is filed under the name bacterium enrichment culture clone ALO1_GLFRUDD03G380W. Its description in RNAcentral is "bacterial SSU rRNA". It matches the Rfam family "Bacterial small subunit ribosomal RNA", at positions 9 to 416 of the family's 1533-position model. The record is from RNAcentral.